This 346-nucleotide long non-coding RNA is filed under the name Coturnix japonica (Japanese quail). Its description in RNAcentral is "lncRNA (ENSCJPG00005002570.1)". Lineage: Eukaryota; Metazoa; Chordata; Aves; Galliformes; Phasianidae. The record is from RNAcentral.
AUGAUUGACGUGAUGGCCACGCCCCCUCCCCCGCCCCGUUCCUCCUUGGGGUUCGGUUUUGGUUUCGUUUCACUGCGGGAACCGAGCGCCCGUAAUGGAGGCGGUGCUGGAGCUGUGGGGCGCCCCCAGCGGCCGGGAGGAGCAAGAGCAGCUGCUGGACCCGGAGAACGCGACGAGAUCGGGGGGCGGAACAGAGCGGGAAUGGGGCAGGAUGGGAACGGCCCCAUAUGGAACAUACCAGAGUCAGAGCGCCCUGGAAGGCGUCCUGGCUCGUGCCCCACACCAUCUGUGGGGCCGGGAGCUGAAGCUGCGUCGUGCCCCCCCCUGGGACCCCACGGCGCUGCUG